Molecule: long non-coding RNA, 7400 nt
Organism: Taeniopygia guttata (zebra finch)
Lineage: Eukaryota; Metazoa; Chordata; Aves; Passeriformes; Estrildidae
Source: Ensembl
UAAGUCAGAAAUACAAUUUAUUAGGAAAAAGGGAACAAAGAACCAAAUACAUACAAUAGCAUAAAAGAAGAACUACUGACAGAGUCAGAGAUACAGCCUGACACUCGCUGGCUGGGGCGGUGGUAGUAGAUAUGGUUCUGUCCAAGCAGUGGUCCUGCAGACUGAUGGAGUUUCCCUCUGGAGGUCCAGUGCAGAGAAGGUCUCAGCUGUUCCUCUUGGAAGAGGGGAUUUACUUGCUGUUUGUACAACCCCACUUACAUCCUUGAUGGCAUUCGUUUGGCUCCUCCCUGUGGGCGGAGCAUCUCACAAUAGAACGCUGUGAUCUUAUCAGUCAUAUGGCUAAAAGAGCAGGUCCUCCCGGAGGGACUUAUCUCUGAGCCACGAGAUAAGGAAAGAAAGGGAUUGCAGCUCCAGGUGGUAAUGGAAUACACCCCAAUAUUAUAACCUAGGACACCCUGGAUCCCUGGCAGUGCCCAAGGCUAGGUGGAUGGAGCUUGGAGCACCCUGGGAGAGUGAAAGGUGUCCCUGCCUGUGGCAAGGGGUGGAACAGGAUGAGCUUUGAGGUACUUUUCAACCCAAAGCCAUUCUCCCUUCCAUCAUGCACAUCUGUUUCCAGUUGAGAGGCACCUUGUCCUGGGGCUAAUUCAGACCUAAUCACUAAACAUUCUGUGUCUCCAUACAAUGAAGCAAGGAGAAUCCAGGCUACACACUCCGGAAAAAUGUUCAGUGAGAAAAGCAACACUGCACCAGGAGACGAUGUCUUAAAAAUGUCAAACCCAUCUUCUCCUCCAGCAUCCCUCAGGUGGAGUCAGAAAAGCACCUCUGCUGCUACCAAGCACAGAUUUAGCCAUCACAGUGUAGAAGGUCUGAUGGCAAAUUGGUUGACGGCUGCCACCUGAUUUCAGCCAUGUGAGCAGCAAGUGCUUAACACAGGGGUAGUGAUGCACUCACCCCACUGCCAUUAGCAGCAGCACAGCCCAGCACUCAUAUCCAUCCCCAUGUCCUCAGGCAGCACCUCCUCCUGAAAGCACACUGCCAGGAUUUCAGCGGACCAGGGCCCUGCUUCCCAAGCCCUUCAGGCAGGUUGCAAGAAAGCAAAUUAACAGGUUGAAACCCUGACAAUUUUCUUCUGAAACAAGGUCGCUGAGGAUCUCACAAGUCCCUGACUGGCUGGCUUGCUAUCAGCUCAAAGGCAUUUCAAGAACAUUAGCUCUGGUGCCAAAAAUAUCUGGGCUCAUCCCUGCGGCAAAACAGCAGCAGGGGGAGGAGGAGGAGGAUGGGAUGCAAUGGCAGUGUCUGAACAGACAGAGGGAUGGGGGAGCAGAGAUGUUUGGGUUUUUGGGUUUUUUUGGGGGGGUGCCUCCACCACUGGGAAGAGUAAAUGAAGGAGAUUUAAAGUCUUCUGUCAGCCAGAACUAACUUUGUCACCAUGAUGGUUCUUAGCUGGACUCGAGGAUCUUAGAGGGAGGUCUUUUCCCACUGUAAUGUUUCCACAUUUACCUCUGCCAAUAGAUCUCAGCACACAGCAGCAAAGCCAACUUGAAAUAAACCUUCAGCAUGCCCAGCCCCCUACAAAAAGCACUACAAAAGGGCUUCCUGACAUCAUGCCCAGCUCACCAGUGUUUUACUCUACUGGAAAUUUUGUUUGCUGUCUCCAGUCUCACCUUACGGUCUUUUCAAAAUGAGGGGAUUUUGGGUUUUACCAGUGAAAUCAUUGCUGUGGAACAAAAUUCAGUAUCAGGACAACAUUUAGCAAUCAGAACAACAUUCAGUAAUUGUUACAAGAACCAUAUCUGCAAGCUUCAGCACAAAUACACCUCCAGAUAGACCCGGAAUAAGAUCUCUCACAACCCUCUUUCAUGGUGUCCACCAUUUUAUUUUUGGAUUUGAUGUGUAAAUUAAGCAUUUAGAGGCCUCCAUUCUGACUCCUGAGGCUUUUUCCCAAAAAGUUCUCCUGGCUAACAUUCCCUUGGGUUGAGGUGGAUGUUUUGCCCCGGUCCCUGUGAGCACAGACUAGUUCUGACUGCUCUUGUCACACACAGCAGCAUUUCUGGGCACAGGGGCAAAUGGAUUUGAGCUGAAGGAGGGCAAGUAUUAGAUGAGAUAUUGGGAAGGGAUUGUUCCCUGGGAGGGUGGGCAGGCCCUGGCACAGGGUGCCCAGAGCAGCUGUGGCUGCCCAGGGAUCCCUGGCAGUGUCCAAGGCCAGGCUGGACACUGGGGCUUGGAGCAGCCUGGGAAUAGUUGAAGGUGUCCCUGCCCAUGGCAGGGGUUUGGGACAAGAUGAGCUUUAAGGUCCCUUCCAACCAAACAAUUCGGUGGUCUGACCCCUAGAAUUCUCACCUCUAGGCCUCUGUCCUGAUGGGCAAAGCCACCCUGGGACAGAUGCAGGUCCUGGGAAGCAGCUUCUGGCCGCUGCUGCCCUCAGUGCACACCCAGAUUGUGCAACAGCUCUGAGAAGCCACCCAGGCCCUGCAGAGCGGUGCCAUGCUGAAUGCAUUAGCUGUGCUGGGAACAAAUGAGUGAAGCAAAGCCAGUUUUGUUGUUGUGCUGGGGGCAGAGGAGCGGGCGCGGGGCGGCAGAGGCGGAGCACGGUGACAGCGCUGUCCCACAGAGCAGCCGGGCUGCAGCCACACACGGCCCAGAGGUGCCCAGAUCCAGACCUGGGGGCUGUCGCUGCUGGAGCGUGUUUAUUCUAGCCCUGCUUCCCUGCGUGCGUAUUCCCAGCAGGAGGGGAUGUAAACUGGCUCAGCCAUGCCUGCCCAGCCCUCCAUCCUCCACCACAUGCCAAAACUCUUCUGCUCACACUCUGCGAGGUCACAUUUCCUGGCAGAGAGCUCGGCUCCUUCUCCCCUCUCCCUUCCCCCAUGCUCCUAGUGAAAUAUGAAAACAGCCUGCCACCUGCCAUUUGCCUGGCCUGCUUCUCUCUGUGUGCCAAAAAUUAGCAACAUACCCCAAAAUGUAAUUGGAAACACUGCACUGCACUGCAGGGGUCCCAUUGCUGUUGCAUACAGGAGGCUUGACAAAAAGCCAAUUUAAUUUCUAGAUUCUCUGGGCUGCAUGUGCUACACUAAGUGUACACUAACCUCCUCACGCUAAGUGAGGAGGUUAAAAAAAAAUCCCUUUUAUCAAGCCAAUUCCUAUUAGUAGGUUUAGAUCUUUUAACAAGCCAUGCUGUAGGAAUCAGCGAGCUGUCACUGCCAGCACAUUUAGGGCAUUGUUUCUUGGAAUUGGAGUAGUGUGGGAGGUCAGGAGUUAGAAGUCGGCAUUUCCAAACUUCAGGGCCGGGAGCUGGGGAGUGCAGGCAGAGCUGAAGGUGGCAGAGGAUUCAUGAGGGCUGACACUAACCCCAGGAAGGAAACUACCCUACCCCCCGCUCCCCAGGAGAACUGGCGCAAGUCCCGGAGGAUCCUUGCAGGAGGAUCCUUGCAGGAAGAUCCUUGCAGGAGGAUCCUUGCAGGAGCCUUCUGGACGUGGCUCCCACACCUCCGUGCUCAGGGCAGCUCUGACAGCGGAGCACAGCACCACUGAUGCUGCCCAGGCUGCAGACCAGCCCUGCAGAGCCAGAAGCUAUCUCCUUUUUGCAGGAAAAGGGCAGGACAGGCGAGAAAGAAAAUAUAGGGCACCUCAUUCACACCACUCCUUGGCAGAGAGCUCAGCCAGCAGAUUUGUGAAACUGAAAAGCAACAUUUCACCCCGAAAGAGCUGUUUACAUUGUUAGGGUUGACUGGCCAGGCUUAGGAAAGAGCUGUGCCAAACUGGCUUAUUAUUAUCUCCCUUCCCCAAAACACUCGGGGCCUGCUCCUUUGUUACGGGAUGUCUGUAUCCAUGGAGCUGUGCUGAAAUCCAUGUGCCUCGGGGCCACCUGUACACACAGACACAGGGAACUCAGCCACUCCGGCAGCAAUAAAGAUAGAUAUUGGGAAGGAGUUGCUCCCUGGCAGGGUGGGCAGGCCCUGGCACAGGGUGCCCAGAGAAGCUGUGGCUGCCCCUGGAUCCCUGGCACUGCCCAAGGCCAGUUUGAAGCGCCCUGGGACACUGGAAGGUGUCCCUGCCCAUGGCAGGGGGUGGAAUGGAUGAGCUUUAAGGUCCCUUCCAACACAAACCACCCUGGGAUUCUGUGAAAUUAAUUGUCAGGCUGGAGCCAAAGCCUCACUGACCUCAUGUUUCCCCUGAAAUUCUGCUCCCUCCUCGACCUUAUACCAAGGCUGUACAACACACUCAGGAGAUCCAAACAGGAACAAUUCUUCCAUCUGCUCUUAGGGAGAAAAGCGCUUAAACCCAAAACACAGCACUAUUAAGUAUCUCCCCAAAUCCUCCCUGGCCAGGUUCCUUGGAGAAGAUGCAAAGAGAUGAUCAGAUCAGGCACUCAGGUGUGGCUCAAGGCUCAAACAAGACACUGGGACAAUGGAAUGCCUCUGGGGAUGGAGCCUCUCAGCCCAUCUAACAGAAUCACAAGAUCCUGGGUGGAAGGAACCCACCAGGUUCAUGGAGUCCAACCCCUGGCCCUUUAGAGGGCAGUGCCCAGAAUCCCACCCUGUGCCUGAGAAUGCUGUGUUUGGGACUGGGACUCGGAUACCCAAACCCCAUCAGGGAUCUGCUGCAUGGGACUGUGGGCUGCCUUAAUUUCAGCCUCAGAAGGGCAAGCCAAGAGGGAGCCCUGAGGAAACUCCACAUUCCUUCUCAUCAGGCUGAUUACUGAAUAGGCUUUAAUAGAUCAGGGAAUUAAGAAUUUGAUUAAGUCUAAAGAACUGCUUUGAAAUUCUUCAAAAUUAGAUUUUUUUUUUGUCUAUAGCAAGCAUGCUAUGGAAUACUAGGGAGAUGACCCCACGUUUCCAAAAACUAAAACAAAAAAAGUCAUCGCAAAAUCCACAGCUGCUCCCCAUUUGCAAUAAGCUGUUUAAAACAAAAUAAACCAAUACAUUUUGCUCCAAGAAACAUGCAUUAGACACUGGCAGCUUGCUUCCCUCAUUCCUCUAUCCCCAAAUACUUUGAAUGGAAGGAGGAAACCUUGAAGUGAUACAUAUGUGAGAAGCUCUGAGAACAAUAGCUGCUCCCCAGUUGACUCUAGAGCUGUUAACAAACUCAAGGUUCCCAUGCUAGAGGAACCCAGCUGGAGCAGCACCAGCACCAGGCUCUGAGAACACCAGCAAAAGUCAGAUUUCCACCUACAAAUUCCUAGAAGUUUGUAGUCCAAAGAGCAAAACACCACAGAUUCAUGUGGGCAGGCUCAGAGGGAUGGCAUCCUGGAAACCUCCCCUCCAAGAGCAAAAUAUCAGCAGGCUAAUCUUCAGAUCAGGAGGGGCAGGAUCCUGCUUGGAGCACAACGUCACCACUGUGUUUUUAAACUGAAUUUUACUCACAGUGAGGUGCAGUCAGUACAAAGAGGCUACAGUGGGUUUGUCACACCAUGGUGUCUGGAAGUAGCAGCUCAGUCCCUGGAUGUGUCAAGAAGGGGAGAAGAAACUGAGUGCUGCCGUUUGCAACCAGCUCACAGCUCUUGUCCCUCCUGAAAAUGAGGGGAAGAAUUGGAGGGUGCAUCGUGCACCCUCCGUGGGGGUGGCUCUGAGGAUCCCUUUUUCUAGGCUUUUGAAAAAUGAAGCUUCUCUUAACACCCACAGCUGCAAGCGUGUGCAGCCAUUCCCUCUGAUUCCCCAGACACAGAGCUGGCCCAUGGGAAGUAAUGCCAUGAAAGUUUUCUCUGGGUUUAAAAGCUCAGAGAUGCCUCUGAAGCACUGCCUUCAAAUGAAGCCUUCACCAAGGGACACCUACAGGAAGAAUGAGCAGCCCAGUCCACUGUCCAAGAGAGCCUCGCCCCAGGCAAAAAACAGAGGUGAGGAAAGAGCUGAGGGAGAACUAAACCACUCUGUUCAAAAUGAGAUCUUCAGGCAUCAAGAACUCAGAAAAGCAGGUGAAGGAAGGUUUCAAAGGCUGCCUGAGACUUGUACACUUGUACUCCCCAGCAGGCUGCACCUCUGUGCCCACAUUGAUCUCCUUUCCACAGAGGACACACAAAGGGACGUUUCCCGGCAUUCACAGCAAACCUUACCUGAGUUAUACAUCAGAUCCUCCCAGCUGCCAUUGGAUCCCAGUCCCUGAUUCCCAGAGACCCCUGAUAAAUUCCCAGCCCUGCAUUAAGGACUCCAAGCUCAGCAGCAGGAUCUCUCCAUCCAGCACAGCAAUACCCCCACUGCAAGAUUUCCCUGAAUGCAGAUUGCUCUGAGUCACCUCUUCUCCAACCUGAUGUUCCCAGAAAGGCUGGGGAAGGGACCUUAACAUUCCAGCCCCCUGCCAUGGGGUGGAACUCCUCCCAGUACUCCAGGUUGCUCCAAACCCCAUCCAACCUGGCCUUGGACACUUUCAGGAAUGGGGCAAAGGAUAGAGGAGCACAGGAGAUUUCCCAGAAAGUUUCAGAUAUGAGGAAGCAUCCAGGUUCUUCACUGAGUGCCGGGAUGCUAACAAAGCUGUCCAGGAAACUUUUCAUCCCGGCUGCUGUGGAUUUGGGUCUUGUGCUGGCCCAGUCUGGCCUGUCAAACAGAGAGACCCAGGCUUGGCAUCUGCCACUCUGCUGUUUGUCAUUGUGCAGGAAUGCUGAGGGAUCAUUUUAUCCCUACUCUAAAUUUCAGAUGCUUCCCCUUGGCCAUGACAAAGGGGAGCUCUGCCCCACCCCUCUCCACAGGUUCUCAGAGCCAGGGGUUUGCAAACAGCCUGGUGACAACACUGCUGAGUAACAUACAGAGUAUUAAGAGUCAAUUAAGAAUUUAUUAAGAGAGGGUCCACAGGAGGUAGUGACCUGGAUCCAGCUGUUGCACCCUUCUGGGAGAAGAAGUCAACUGGAGCUUUCAGACCUUCCACAGGGAGACCAGGAACAAACACUCCAAUCAAAAAGAAGGGUUUGUUGUUGUCUCACAAAACCCCUCUCCCUGCCAGCUGUGCUCCAGCCCCUCAAGCGCAUCCCAUCCUUUGCUGCUAAGCACAUCCCACGCACAAAGGCUCAUUGCAGUCUGUGGUCAUUCAAAGGGGUCACCCAAGACCUGAACUGGCUGAAGCCAAGGUGGAAAUAAUAGAAAUCAUCUGCCAGGAUCAAACUGUAAAUCAUCUGAGACCUCUGAUGGAGCCCAAACAGGAAAAUUUUUUCAAUUUUUGCUGUUUGGUUUGGAUCAAAAUAAUUUAAAGUGGCAAAUGCAACAUCUGCAGGGAGCUUCAGGAGUAACCCUUGGGACUGCAAGGAGUUCAGUUCUCUCAGGCAGAAAUUCUUCUCUGCAGAGGAAGCUUCCCAGAGAAGCUGUGGCUGCCCCUGGAUCCCUGCAAGUGUCCAAGGCCAGCUUGGAUGGGGCUUGGAGGAGCCUGGGACAGUGGAAUGUGUCCCUGCCCAUGGCAGGGAGUGGCACAGGAUGAGCUUU